Molecule: non-coding RNA, 136 nt
Organism: Paralichthys olivaceus (Japanese flounder)
Lineage: Eukaryota; Metazoa; Chordata; Actinopteri; Pleuronectiformes; Paralichthyidae
Source: RefSeq, a predicted model, not a curated record
GUGAACGCGGCCUGGGCUCCGGACGGACGAAUGGCGGGAGGUUUGAACAUUUACUGCGUGUUUCCUGCUGUGAGCAACACGUAUGAAUCAUAUCAUGAACAUUAAAGAAAUGCUGAGUAUUCCAGCUGGAACCAGG